RNAcentral lists this long non-coding RNA (252 nucleotides) under Elaeis guineensis (African oil palm). RNAcentral's name for it is "long non-coding RNA (EGUI_LNC012014)". The record is from RNAcentral. Lineage: Eukaryota; Viridiplantae; Streptophyta; Magnoliopsida; Arecales; Arecaceae.
ACUGCAGUAUUUAAAAAAUAAAUUUUGAAAUAUACAUGCAUGUCUCUAACCUUGAAUUCCAACAGUAGAGUUUAAGAGACCUAGAAAUAGGAUCAACCAAAAGUAUCUGUGACACCUUAGGCUAGGUCAUAUUUGAGAAGAUAGACUCAACAAACUGAAGAAAGAUGAUCUUUUUGGACUAUUGACUUCUGAGACUUAUCCAGUCUGUGAAUCAUAUCUUCAAGAAAAAAUGAUCAAGCUAUCCUUGUGGGA